UACGUAGGGGGCGAGCGUUGUUCGGAAUCACUGGGCGUAAAGGGAGCGUAGGCGGGGCCGUAAGUUAGAAGUUUAAUUCCCGGGCUUAACCCGGGGCUGGCUUUUAAUACUGCGGUUCUUGAGUAUGGAAGAGGGAGAUGGAAUUCCAGGUGUAGCGGUGGAAUGCGUAGAUAUCUGGAAGAACACCAGCAGCGAAGGCGGUCUCCUGGUCCAAUACUGACGCUGAGGCUCGAAAGUUAGGGGGGCAAACAGG
This 253-nucleotide ribosomal RNA is filed under the name uncultured bacterium. Its description in RNAcentral is "partial 16S ribosomal RNA". It matches the Rfam family "Bacterial small subunit ribosomal RNA", at positions 524 to 776 of the family's 1533-position model. The record is from RNAcentral.